Molecule: ribosomal RNA, 460 nt
Filed under: uncultured bacterium
Lineage: Bacteria
Description: partial 16S ribosomal RNA
Rfam family: Bacterial small subunit ribosomal RNA
Source: RNAcentral
CCUACGGGUGGCAGCAGUGAGGAAUAUUGGUCAAUGGACGAGAGUCUGAACCAGCCAAGUAGCGUGAAGGAUGACUGCCCUAUGGGUUGUAAACUUCUUUUAUAAAGGAAUAAAACGAGGCACGUGUGCCUUUUUGCAUGUACUUUAUGAAUAAGGAUCGGCUAACUCCGUGCCAGCAGCCGCGGUAAUACGGAGGAUCCGAGCGUUAUCCGGAUUUAUUGGGUUUAAAGGGAGCGUAGAUGGGUUGUUAAGUCGGUUGUGAAAGUUUGCGGAUCAACCGUAAAAUUGCAAUUGAUACUGUGAGAUUAGAGUAGUGGAGAGGGAAGCGGAAGUCUGGGUGUAGCGGGGAAAUGCGUAGAUAUCGAGAGGAACUCCUGUGGCGAAGGCGGGUUAAUAGACUUUGACUGACGUUGAGGCAAGAAGGUCAGGGGAUCGAACCGGAGUAGAUACCCAUGUAGUC